Molecule: transfer RNA, 74 nt
Filed under: Clostridiaceae bacterium
Lineage: Bacteria; Bacillati; Bacillota; Clostridia; Eubacteriales; Clostridiaceae
Description: tRNA-Gly
Rfam family: tRNA
About the family: Transfer RNA (tRNA) molecules are approximately 80 nucleotides in length. Their secondary structure includes four short double-helical elements and three loops (D, anti-codon, and T loops).
Source: RNAcentral
GCGGGUGUAAUUCAAUGGCAGAAUGUCAGCUUCCCAAGCUGGUCGUGAGGGUUCGAUUCCCUUCACCCGCUCCA